This 383-nucleotide ribosomal RNA is filed under the name uncultured bacterium. RNAcentral describes it as "bacterial SSU rRNA". It matches the Rfam family "Bacterial small subunit ribosomal RNA", at positions 28 to 411 of the family's 1533-position model. The record is from RNAcentral.
GACGAACGCUGGCGGCGUGCUUAACACAUGCAAGUCGAGCGGUAAGGCCCUUUCGGGGGUACACGAGCGGCGAAUGGGUGAGUAACACGUGGGUGACCUGCCCUCAGCUCUGGGAUAAGCCUGGGAAACCGGGUCUAAUACUGGAUAUGACUCCAUGACGCAUGUUGUGGGGUGGAAAGCCUUGUGCGGCUGAGGAUGGGCCCGCGGCCUAUCAGCUUGUUGGUGGGGNGAUGGCCUACCAAGGCGACGACGGGUAGCCGCCUGAGAGGGCGACCGGCCACACUGGGACUGAGACACGGCCCAGACUCCUACGGGAGGCAGCAGUGGGGAAUCUUGCGACAAGUGGGACGAAAGCCUGUCGCAGCGACGCCGCGUGAGGAUGA